Molecule: long non-coding RNA, 308 nt
Organism: Oncorhynchus tshawytscha (Chinook salmon)
Lineage: Eukaryota; Metazoa; Chordata; Actinopteri; Salmoniformes; Salmonidae
Source: Ensembl
GUAAUAGAUAGAGGAUAAUAGAUAGAGGGUAAUAGAUAGAGGGUAAUAGAUAGAGGGUAAUAGAUAGAGGGUAAUAGAGGGUAAUAGAUAGAGGGUAAUAGAUAGAGGGUAAUAGAUAGAGUAUAAUAGAGGGUAACAGAUAGAGGGUAAUAGAUAGAGUGUAACAGAUAGAGGGUAAUAGAUAGAGGAUAAUAGAUUGAGGGUAACAGAUAGAGGCUAAUAGAGGUAACAGAUAGAGGGUAAUAGAUAGAGAUUAAUAGAUAGAGGAUAAUAGAUAGAGGAUAAUAGAUAGAGGAUAAUAGAUAGAG